RNAcentral lists this ribosomal RNA (2901 nucleotides) under Escherichia coli DEC7C. Its description in RNAcentral is "bacterial LSU rRNA". It matches the Rfam family "Bacterial large subunit ribosomal RNA". Lineage: Bacteria; Pseudomonadati; Pseudomonadota; Gammaproteobacteria; Enterobacterales; Enterobacteriaceae. The record is from RNAcentral.
UUAAGCGACUAAGCGUACACGGUGGAUGCCCUGGCAGUCAGAGGCGAUGAAGGACGUGCUAAUCUGCGAUAAGCGUCGGUAAGGUGAUAUGAACCGUUAUAACCGGCGAUUUCCGAAUGGGGAAACCCAGUGUGUUUCGACACACUAUCAUUAACUGAAUCCAUAGGUUAAUGAGGCGAACCGGGGGAACUGAAACAUCUAAGUACCCCGAGGAAAAGAAAUCAACCGAGAUUCCCCCAGUAGCGGCGAGCGAACGGGGAGGAGCCCAGAGCCUGAAUCAGUGUGUGUGUUAGUGGAAGCGUCUGGAAAGGCGCGCGAUACAGGGUGACAGCCCCGUACACAAAAAUGCACAUGCUGUGAGCUCGAUGAGUAGGGCGGGACACGUGGUAUCCUGUCUGAAUAUGGGGGGACCAUCCUCCAAGGCUAAAUACUCCUGACUGACCGAUAGUGAACCAGUACCGUGAGGGAAAGGCGAAAAGAACCCCGGCGAGGGGAGUGAAAAAGAACCUGAAACCGUGUACGUACAAGCAGUGGGAGCCUCUUUAUGGGGUGACUGCGUACCUUUUGUAUAAUGGGUCAGCGACUUAUAUUCUGUAGCAAGGUUAACCGAAUAGGGGAGCCGAAGGGAAACCGAGUCUUAACUGGGCGUUAAGUUGCAGGGUAUAGACCCGAAACCCGGUGAUCUAGCCAUGGGCAGGUUGAAGGUUGGGUAACACUAACUGGAGGACCGAACCGACUAAUGUUGAAAAAUUAGCGGAUGACUUGUGGCUGGGGGUGAAAGGCCAAUCAAACCGGGAGAUAGCUGGUUCUCCCCGAAAGCUAUUUAGGUAGCGCCUCGUGAAUUCAUCUCCGGGGGUAGAGCACUGUUUCGGCAAGGGGGUCAUCCCGACUUACCAACCCGAUGCAAACUGCGAAUACCGGAGAAUGUUAUCACGGGAGACACACGGCGGGUGCUAACGUCCGUCGUGAAGAGGGAAACAACCCAGACCGCCAGCUAAGGUCCCAAAGUCAUGGUUAAGUGGGAAACGAUGUGGGAAGGCCCAGACAGCCAGGAUGUUGGCUUAGAAGCAGCCAUCAUUUAAAGAAAGCGUAAUAGCUCACUGGUCGAGUCGGCCUGCGCGGAAGAUGUAACGGGGCUAAACCAUGCACCGAAGCUGCGGCAGCGACGCUUAUGCGUUGUUGGGUAGGGGAGCGUUCUGUAAGCCUGUGAAGGUGUGCUGUGAGGCAUGCUGGAGGUAUCAGAAGUGCGAAUGCUGACAUAAGUAACGAUAAAGCGGGUGAAAAGCCCGCUCGCCGGAAGACCAAGGGUUCCUGUCCAACGUUAAUCGGGGCAGGGUGAGUCGACCCCUAAGGCGAGGCCGAAAGGCGUAGUCGAUGGGAAACAGGUUAAUAUUCCUGUACUUGGUGUUACUGCGAAGGGGGGACGGAGAAGGCUAUGUUGGCCGGGCGACGGUUGUCCCGGUUUAAGCGUGUAGGCUGGUUUUCCAGGCAAAUCCGGAAAAUCAAGGCUGAGGCGUGAUGACGAGGCACUACGGUGCUGAAGCAACAAAUGCCCUGCUUCCAGGAAAAGCCUCUAAGCAUCAGGUAACAUCAAUACGUACCCCAAACCGACACAGGUGGUCAGGUAGAGAAUACCAAGGCGCUUGAGAGAACUCGGGUGAAGGAACUAGGCAAAAUGGUGCCGUAACUUCGGGAGAAGGCACGCUGAUAUGUAGGUGAAGUCCCUCGCGGAUGGAGCUGAAAUCAGUCGAAGAUACCAGCUGGCUGCAACUGUUUAUUAAAAACACAGCACUGUGCAAACACGAAAGUGGACGUAUACGGUGUGACGCCUGCCCGGUGCCGGAAGGUUAAUUGAUGGGGUCAGCGCAAGCGAAGCUCUUGAUCGAAGCCCCGGUAAACGGCGGCCGUAACUAUAACGGUCCUAAGGUAGCGAAAUUCCUUGUCGGGUAAGUUCCGACCUGCACGAAUGGCGUAAUGAUGGCCAGGCUGUCUCCACCCGAGACUCAGUGAAAUUGAACUCGCUGUGAAGAUGCAGUGUACCCGCGGCAAGACGGAAAGACCCCGUGAACCUUUACUAUAGCUUGACACUGAACAUUGAGCCUUGAUGUGUAGGAUAGGUGGGAGGCUUAGAAGUGUGGACGCCAGUCUGCAUGGAGCCGGCCUUGAAAUACCACCCUUUAAUGUUUGAUGUUCUAACGUUGACCCGUAAUCCGGGUUGCGGACAGUGUCUGGUGGGUAGUUUGACUGGGGCGGUCUCCUCCUAAAGAGUAACGGAGGAGCACGAAGGUUGGCUAAUCCUGGUCGGACAUCAGGAGGUUAGUGCAAUGGCAUAAGCCAGCUUGACUGCGAGCGUGACGGCGCGAGCAGGUGCGAAAGCAGGUCAUAGUGAUCCGGUGGUUCUGAAUGGAAGGGCCAUCGCUCAACGGAUAAAAGGUACUCCGGGGAUAACAGGCUGAUACCGCCCAAGAGUUCAUAUCGACGGCGGUGUUUGGCACCUCGAUGUCGGCUCAUCACAUCCUGGGGCUGAAGUAGGUCCCAAGGGUAUGGCUGUUCGCCAUUUAAAGUGGUACGCGAGCUGGGUUUAGAACGUCGUGAGACAGUUCGGUCCCUAUCUGCCGUGGGCGCUGGAGAACUGAGGGGGGCUGCUCCUAGUACGAGAGGACCGGAGUGGACGCAUCACUGGUGUUCGGGUUGUCAUGCCAAUGGCACUGCCCGGUAGCUAAAUGCGGAAGAGAUAAGUGCUGAAAGCAUCUAAGCACGAAACUUGCCCCGAGAUGAGUUCUCCCUGACUCCUUGAGAGUCCUGAAGGAACGUUGAAGACGACGACGUUGAUAGGCCGGGUGUGUAAGCGCAGCGAUGCGUUGAGCUAACCGGUACUAAUGAACCGUGAGGCUUAACCUU